GGAUUGUGGCUCAGUGGUAGAGCACUCACCUAGCACAUGUGAGGCCCUGAGUUCGAUCCUCAACACCA
RNAcentral lists this transfer RNA (68 nucleotides) under Marmota monax (woodchuck). Its description in RNAcentral is "tRNA.Ala". The stretch from base 5 to 65 matches the Rfam family "tRNA", at positions 6 to 65 of the family's 71-position model. From Rfam's summary of the family: Transfer RNA (tRNA) molecules are approximately 80 nucleotides in length. Their secondary structure includes four short double-helical elements and three loops (D, anti-codon, and T loops). Further hydrogen bonds mediate the characteristic L-shaped molecular structure. tRNAs have two regions of fundamental functional importance: the anti-codon, which is responsible for specific mRNA codon recognition, and the 3' end, to which the tRNAs corresponding amino acid is attached (by aminoacyl-tRNA synthetases). tRNAs cope with the degeneracy of the genetic code in two manners: having more than one tRNA (with a specific anti-codon) for a particular amino acid; and 'wobble' base-pairing, i.e. permitting non-standard base-pairing at the 3rd anti-codon position. Lineage: Eukaryota; Metazoa; Chordata; Mammalia; Rodentia; Sciuridae. The record is from RNAcentral.